This 2680-nucleotide long non-coding RNA is filed under the name Homo sapiens (human). Its description in RNAcentral is "HSALNT0086772". The record is from RNAcentral. Lineage: Eukaryota; Metazoa; Chordata; Mammalia; Primates; Hominidae.
UCCUGCCUCAGCCUCCCCGAGUAGCUGGGAUUACAGGCGACUGCCGCCACCACGCCCGGCUAAUUUUUUAAGUAUUUUUAGUAGAGACGGGUUUCACCGCGUUAGCCAGCAUGGUCUUGAUCUCCUGACCUCGUGAUCUGCCCUCCUCGGCCUCCCAAAGUGCUGGGAUUACAGGCGUGAGCCACCGCGCCCGGCCGACCCCUGUAGGGUUUUAAAGGAGAGAGGCAGCAUCCCAGAGGGCAAAAAGGGCUUCAUUCAUGGAGAAAGCAACUGAGCUGGGCAGAGCACAGACGGAAUUUGAAUUGGAGGCCAGAGGCAAAGGGAACUCCAAGUGGAAGAAGAAACGGCAUGAAAAAAGGGAUUGAGAAGGAAAAGGACAAGAUGGUUUGGAGAGAGAGCAACUUCAGCCUGGAAAAGCAGAAAUGAGAUGCGGCCAAGAAAAAGACUCCAGCCCAGCCUGCCUUGGUUCUAACCCUGACUGUUACUUAACCUCUUUCUGGCUCAGUCAAGAAACUUGAGCACUGCAAGAUGAUCAUGUGGAAUACCUACUUCAAACGGAUGUUAAGAGGAAAGAUUCAGGCUUUAGCGAUGACUGGAGGGUCAUUCGCUGGAAAGAAUUUCAUCAGUUGGAACUAAAUCAUGAUGAAUGAAAUACAAGUACAACAAGAAAAAGUUUCUGUAAAAACUAAGGUGAUUGCUUUAGAAUAACUCCAUAAAGGUCAUUCUGAAAAACAAUUGCUGCAACUCUAAAAGAUGGGGAAAUCUAGAAGCAUUCUGCACUUUGAUCAUGCACUGGGGCUGCAGUUUGUGCUUGAAGGAUUACCAAGAACUCCAAUUGUAGUGCCUCACUUUGGAGUCGGCUGAGAAGAUCAUUCCAGACGGGAGUUUUGACACUGUACAAAUGCACUGUCUUCACAUCUACGCUGACACCCCUGCCUUUCUACCUGCAGGUGUCUGUGGCUUACAAGCUGGUGCCUCCCACAGACCCUGUAGUUUGGAGCUAAUGAAGAGCUGAGAAGGUAGGUUUGGCUGUGACUAGAGAGCAGGAACAACCUCUCCACAGGUCAUUCCUUUCUCCAGGCAUGGAACCGUCUUACAAACCUGGGCUGAGGGUUCAUUGCCUCUAAAUGUAGAAGCAAAGACUAAAUUCAAAAGGCAAGAACUACUUAAUGAAAACAGAAACUCCACUACAUACGUGUUUCUUCUGCCUAUCCCAUGGAGUCAGAGAGGUGGUGGAUCUAGCAGAGACAGCUGUAGACCAGGGGUCAGAAGACUUGGGUCCUCAUCCUGAUUCUACCACUAACUAGCUGCAUGACCUCAGACAAGUGACUUGUCUGCCCUAGACCAGGCAGGGUUGGACAGUUAGCCCCAAAGUCCCUUCUAAUGCUAAAAUUCUAAGAUUGUACCCUGCCAGCCUUAGGAGGCUAUGCUGUUACUACCAGUGCCUGGCACAUAGCAGGCACUAUAUAAAUGUUAAUUAUCAUUAUUAUUAUGUAAAGGCACAAUGCAUGCCUUUAUAUGUAAACGUGGAUUCUUCCCCAUUAUAACAAUGAAUGAUCUAGAAGCAAAUUAUAACAACAGGGUAUAAUCAUAAGCAAUGAAGACUGUAAUUCCUACCGGUCUUCUUCUCAGCACAAAUGAAUAAAGCUUUUCCCCCCUCCCCCUCCAGUAAUUGUUGGAGGUGGUUCUUGGAUCCAAAUCCCAAGCCCUUCCAGAAUAUCUGCAAUUGGAGAACGGGUCAUUCAAUCAAAAGACUGUAGACUGUACUGUGAUGUAAAUUUUUUUCUUCCCCACUGAAAAUCCCAGGCCAGGCAUGGUGGCUAACACUUAUAAUCCCAGCACUUUGGGAGGCCUAGGUGGGCAGAUCACUUGAGCUCUGAGCAAUACAAUGAGACCUCGUCUCUACUAAAAAUUCAAAAACAAUUAGCCUGGUGUGGUGGCACAUGCCUGUAGUCCCAGCUAUUCAGGGGGCUGGGGGCUGAGGUGGGAGGAUCACUUGAGUCUGAGAGGCCAAGGCUGCAGUGAGCCCUGAUUGCACCACUGAACUCCAGCCUGGGUGACAGAAGAAGACCUUGUCUCAGAAAAAAACAAACAAGCAAACAAACAAAAAACUCAAUGCAGGUUGGGAAUGAGAACUGGGAUUCAGGAUUUGGAGUUUCCUAAUAUAUUUUGCCUUCUUCCCAUGAUAUAUACAGUGUAUAAACCUAGUAUGAGGAAGGAACAGUUGUCUAUCAAAAUGGUAAAUGGCAUUCAGUCUUAAGUUUCUAAAUAAAGUUAGCAAUUAUGGGUAUGGCCAAAUGUGGGUGCUUGCCAUAACCUCUGGGGCCUCACCAUUUCCAGCUACCAGGAUCUGCAACUUUUUGCCUGAGGGUUUUCUCAGAAGACACAGAAACUGUUCUGCCUAUAAGCCUUGAAGUGCCAGGGAAUUAACACCUACCUUCCCACAGCCCUCCCCACAGUGACUGAUAGCAUUGAUAACGAUACCCAAGCUUCACCCCUCAGGUGGGAUAACUGAGCUGCUUGUUCUAUACCAUGUUCUAGAGUUUCUCCCAUGAGUUUAGGUUCUAAUCAUCCACAUGUAAAUUGCUUGAUAAGAAACCUUCAUUGACUCCUUGUCUCACUUCCCCUCCCCUUAUUUGUUUUGUUUGCACCUUUCAAAUAAACUAUUUUCAUUCAAAUC